RNAcentral lists this non-coding RNA (26 nucleotides) under Mus musculus (house mouse). The record is from RNAcentral. Lineage: Eukaryota; Metazoa; Chordata; Mammalia; Rodentia; Muridae.
CAGGUCUACUUGUGUCCUGUGGUUUG